GUGCUCGCUUCGCCAGCACAUAUACUAAAAUUGGAAUGAUACAGAGAAGAUUAGCAUGGCCCCUGCGCAAGGAUGACAAAAUAAUCGUCCUGAUUAUUGUU
Molecule: small nuclear RNA, 101 nt
Organism: Mus spicilegus (steppe mouse)
Lineage: Eukaryota; Metazoa; Chordata; Mammalia; Rodentia; Muridae
Source: Ensembl